Molecule: long non-coding RNA, 25118 nt
Filed under: Xyrichtys novacula (pearly razorfish)
Lineage: Eukaryota; Metazoa; Chordata; Actinopteri; Labriformes; Labridae
Source: RNAcentral
CCUUAAGAACUGUUGUUCAGGACUGCUUACUUGUGCUUCCUACCUAUUCGGCUACUGUAAUAACCUUUGUUCGAGCCCACAUGCAACAUUUUUGCUCUCAUUCAUGAAACGCUUAAAUCGGGGACAUUUUUGGGGACAGCUUUUGCCGGGGACAGGUCAUCCAAUACGGGGACUGUCCCCGGAAAUCGGGGAUGUCUGGUCACCUUAUGCUAAAGGCUGAAAAUGGCAGGUAUUAAACCAUAUAUUUUAGACCCCGAGUCCGAAGAGGAGGUUCGAAGUUGAAGAAGAAGCCAGAGAUCUCCAGCGGCGUUUUCAUUCUUUCUGCACGGCUUUAAGUUCAUUUUUCCGGCAGUGAACCCAAGGAAACACCGUUCGUUUGGAAGAGACCCAUAGCAGAUACAGUGGUAGCUGGGUCUCGCUCUGGCUGGUGACUGAGUACAAGAACGGGAGAGUGGGCGCGGCUCACCGAGGAUGCGCUCGUGAAUAAUAAUGAGCAAGGUCUGCACGACGUCAGAGGGACCUGCUUUUUCAAUUGGCCUGGUUUACACGUUUCUUUAUUUUAAACCUUCACAGAAUGCAAACGACGUAACGGUUUGUUUUCACAUUUACAACAUAAGAUGAACAUAAUAUGGACCUUAUCUGACACUAAAAACACAGAAAAUUACAUUUUGAUGGCAGGUCCCCUUUAAAAGCAUGUCUGUGACGUCCUUCAGUCAAAAUUCGAUUUGAUCAAUUAUUUUAGUGCUCUUUUUAUCAGCUAAAAACAGCUCCGCUCAAAAUCCUCCGUUUUGGGCCAUGUCUCUUUAAUGAAGUGAGCUGCACCUAAGCCACGUCCACUUUACACCCAUCUCUCUGGAAGGGGCUGUGGUUGUGCUCAGAUAGUCAUGUGCUAAUGUUUACACUGGCUCGGUCAUGGCUGCAAGAAGAUCGUUCUUCCAACCCUACCAGUUUGAGCCAGAGUCUGACUCUGAGGGAGAGGCUCUGGUAGAAACUCUCAGCCGCGUUCAGACCAAACGCGACUCGAAGCGACCUAGUCGACACAUCCCAUGUAUUAUUCAAAGCCGCCAGGAGGGUCACGCUUAAGGAGGAAGAUAUGAAUGUAGAAAAAAUUACAACCCGAGCUCUGCUACAAUGUAAGAUUUUUGUGCUCUAAAACUUCUCUGAAGCCUUUGCUAAUUAAUAGGAUGGAUGACUGUCCAGCAUUAGCCGAGACGCCCUGUAUUUGAGCCAAAAGAGGCGCGUCGCCGCACGGGUAAAUGCUAAAGCUACAUGUUGCUCCGGAGGGGGGUUUUGUCCCCCGCUGGCGGAGUUGUCGGGGAAGAAGCGAGCAGCUAAAAUACGAGAGGAUCCGGUAAAGCGGCGCAGAUCCGGUGUGUUUAUCAAAGCGUGGUGGCCGUGCUGAGGCACCGGGGGGAUUUUAGGCUAAACAGUGAGUCUAAAUAAAACGUUCACACUUACAGAUGCCACGUUUGUAGUCAGAUCACGGAUAGUUGGUACGGAUCCAUUCUUUAUCUUCAGAAAUCUAGCAAAUCCAGCAUUGAACUGUCCCUCGUUGAUAAAACAGUCCGAAGUGAAAUGGUGCGCACAUACGUACAGAUAUUUUGGAAGUGCCGCGGGUACAUUCCCAUUUUAAAUAAAAUCCACCCACUGAGUCCUCAACUCCUCCGACGUAGGAGUUUUCAAAAGAGUUUUGUGCUUGUUUGAGCAGCCAACAACAUAGCAAACGCUGCCUCUUUUUCAGAUCAUACUUUCCCCAUGGUUCUAACUGGAGCUAUGCGAGCGAGCGGCCGGAAAAAAUGCUGCUGUUUUGAUAAUUUAGUGGGCAGGGCAGUAGGCGGCUCCAUGGGCAGUACCAUCAACCCGCCAGCACUGACAUGACGUCAUGUCAAUGGAGUUUUCAGAACGGCCGGCUCUGAGCACACAGUUCCUAAAUACGGAGAUAACUACAAAACGACUGGAUGGAUUUUUCUCAAACUUGGGGGGGAUUGUAGCGGUUUUCUAUCCCUGAUAUGCACCCCCCUCCCGUUAACAAAGUCAGUUUUUCAUGCCAUGGCCCCUUUAAGAACUCCAGAAAAAGCCUGAAAACAUGAACUAAAUAGGUUUUACUGGAAAAUGUUACAUCCACUCAGCUUAAUAAUAAUAAUAAUAAUAAUAAUAAUGAUAAAAAACAGACAACUGUCCUUUUUUUUCCAUUUAAUCUGUCACUGGUGCAAUGUCUAGCUGACGUUGCGCCUACAUGACGUGUGUUUGCGUGUUUAGAUUAUGUUAUAGCCCCCUUGAGAAAAAUGCACCACCAUCUCAGAAACAAGCUCAGUCCCACCUUUAGUUUAUUCAAUCUAAAGUGUUAUAUUAUCAUUUUGAAUGAAGUUCACUUAAAUGGAAGCUAAGAUGUCAGAUAUCACGUAAGGUAAAGGCAAACAGGGUGAGCCGGGAAGUGAAGGUAUAGUUUGGAGCUUUGAGUUUAUCACUUACAAAAAGUUAGUUUAAUAAAAAUCUCAUUUUCACAUGUUCUCUUAUGCUUCAGGUCUAAACUGGGUCAUGAGGAUUAUUUUUGAGUCCUCCACCAGUACAGCUUGUUUGUAAACCAUGACUGUUUCUGCUUAUUUUUGGUCUGCUGUUUCUGUUUCUUCUUAACUGGAAACAGUAACUUAAUUGUUGUGUCUAAUUACAGGCAUACCAAGUGUUGGUAUUGUUAUUUGGAUCUUACACACACACACACACUUCUAAAGUUAUCUACUGUAAUGGAGCAGUUUUGAUUGCAUUUAUUCAUUAUUCAUUGUCAGUCUCACUCCAGAGCUGAUUCCCACGGCAGCACAAACACAAACAGGCGAUGCACAUGCACGGCUGACACGGCUGUCAGAGCUGAGAGCAUGUGUUCACUGAGGACCUGCCUCGGCUCCCAAGAUGAGAAUUAACAAACGCUACAAGGAAUUAGUGUUUCUUGGCACUGUACAAAUUAACUUGUUCUGCUCCGUCUCUCUGCGAUGCAUGCUGCUCCUUGAUACGACUCCAUUUGGGUGCUUUAGUAUGUGUGUGUGUGUGUGUGUGUGUGUGUGUGUGUGUGUGUGUGUGUGUGUGUGUGUGUGUGUGUGUGUGUGUGUGUGUGUGUGUGUGUGUGUGUGUGAAAGAGAAAAGGAAGAAGGACAGAGAGAGAGAGAGAGUUUCUCAUGUGUGUGCUGGAGUGUAAAAAAAGAGGCAGUUUGACUGUGUGUGUCUCAGUGGAUUAACAGAAAUUCACCGAGCUAAAGCCUGAUGUCAGAUGAAUUUGUCUGGUUAAUUUUUUCUGGACUGGAACAAUAUAAGCAACAGAGACAAGCUAAGAGUGCAAACACACACACAUUUAGAAACACUGUACACACACCUGCAAACACAACAUAUACACAUCUAAUAGAGAGGCAGCUAGUGUUUCCUGGUGCAGGCAUGCACACUCUUUCAAACAUGCUGCACUUCAAACACACACAAACUCUGUUGUUUUACAGAUUUGUGUCUGUGUGUGUGCAUGUGUGUGUUUAGUUAUGAGUGUGGUCUCUAACUCCCUCAAACCUUUUCUUUCUGUCAUGUACCCAGCUACACUCCUGCUUCCACCAAAGGAAACAUAGACGAACUGCAGUUUAGUUGCAGGUCUAAUGAAACCAUGUAAGCGGUGGUUAGGUUUAGGGUUGGAUGAUGAACACCACCUUUGAGAUCUAGAGAUCCAGCUUUUUUUAUAGUCAAUUUCUACCAUCUGUCAGUAUGUACACAGGAAUUGAAAAUUAAGUUUCUCUCCAGCCCAUGGUGCAGAAAUGCAGAGAAUAUUAAUAGUAAAAAUAACAAAUACAAAUAAGUAUAAUAAAGAAGUUGCAGUUCUGCAGAAAGUAGUACAUUGCAUGAAAAUAUUUGGUGUCAUUUUUCACACUCAGGAUUUGACCCAAGCUAGAGUGUUUUAUGUUGCCAUUAUAGAAGUUGAUGUUAUUCCCAUUUUUUUAAAAUCUUUUUAGUCUACGAUCUGGACAGUUAGCCGAAGAAUUUUGCCUCAGUAUUCUUUCUUUCCUCAAAGUCUACUCAAACACUAACUGUAGUUCAAGAAGAUAAGAAACUCAACGCCAGUUUCAGGAGAAACCUUUAAUGUCUCAGUAAUGUGUCAUCAUUUAUUUGUCCUGCUGAGUGUCUGAGUUUUCUGGCAUUACUCUCAUGAAGUAUUACUAAGCCAACAGUAUAAAUAACAUGUAUAUAAACAUAAAUAGGAGCAGAAAGAUGUAAUUGCGGCAUUUUUAAGUUGUCACUGAUAUAGACACCAAACCAAAAAUGUCAGUUACAUUAAGCAUCAUUCUUAUUCCCAUGCAAGAUAAAUAUAACUUCAGAUUUAUAUAACACAGCUCAAGAAUGGGGUUGAAAUGUUAACAUUUCAUAUAAACUUUGGAUUGUUGUUCCUCCAGGUUCGGUGCUGUUGAGGUUCAUGACGCGUAACCGCUGUAACAGGCUGCUCUGCCAACAGGUUAUGAGCCCAGAGAAACCUAGAGACAUUGUCACAGCAGCAUGUUUCCACUGUGCCGGUGAUGAUAGCAUGUUGCUCGCACCAUGAGCGGACGAGCAGAUACGAGUGGCCGCCACAGCAGUCACUGGUUGUGGCUCCUGUUUGAUGGAGACGAAAAGAAUUAUGAAAUAUGGAAGGCGAAAUUUUGGGCCACCUUCGUUUGGAAGGGUAAAAGGACACAAUUUUAACAGAGCCCACCACUGAGGACACGGAUGAGCUGCUUGAAGAUGCGGGAAAGAAUGCGGAAGCCUGUGCAGAACUCGUUCAGUUUUUGGACGACAAAAGUUUGUCGCUGGUGAUGCGGGAGGCUGCCAACGAAGCCGAAAUUGUAAGAGACUACUAUUGAGGUAAAGGAAUGCCAUGCAUCAUAAGCCUCUAUACAGAAUUGACUUCACUCCAGAAGUCAGAGAGUGAAAGUGUGACUGAGUACGUGAUCAGGACGGAGACUGCAAUCACAGUACUAAGAAAUGCCGGUGAAACAUUAAGUGACAGACUUUUGGUAGCAAUGGUGUUGAAAGGUUUGCUGGAGUCCUUCAAACCAUUUGUGAUCCAUGUCACACAGCGUGAUGACACAAUAUCUUUGGCUGAAUAUUAAAGGGGACCUGCCAUCAAAUAAUUUUGUGUGUUUUUUGUGUCAGAUAAGGUCCAUCUUAUGUUCGUCUUAUGUUGUAAAUGUGAAAACAAACCGUUACGUCGUUUGCAUUCUGUAAAGGUUUAAAAUAAAGAAACGUGUAAACCAGGCCAAUUGAAAAAGCAGGUCCUUCUGACGUCACGCUGACCUUGCUCAUUAUUAUUUACGAGCGCAUCCUCGGUGAGCCGCGCCCACUCUCUCGUUCUCGUACUCAGUCACAGUCAAUAUCACUCUCCAGCCAGAGCGGGACCCAGCUACCACUGUAUCUGCUAUGGGUCUCUUCCAAAUGACCGGUGUUUCCUUGGGUUCACUGCUGGGAAAAUGAACUUAAAGCUGGGCAGCAUGAAUGAGAAAACACCGCUGGAGAUCUCCGGCUUCUUCUUCAACUUCCACCUCCUCUUCGGACUCGGGGUCUAAUAUAUAUGGUUUAAUACCUGCCAUUUUUACCCUAUAGCAUAAGGGGACCAGACAUCCCCGAUUUCAGGGGACAGUCCCCGAAUUGGAUGACCUGUCCCCGGCAAAAGCUGUCCCCGAAAAUGUCCCAGAUUUAAGCGUUUCAUGAAUGAGAGCAAAAAUGUUGCGUGUGGGCUCGAACAACAGUUAUUACAGUAGCCGAAUAGGUAGGAAGCACAAGUAAGCAGUCCUGAACAACAGUUUUAAGGGGGUUAUUACAAGGGGCAUGCACUGCUACUAAAUAGUACCUAGAUUUUGUCUGUGAUCACGAAGCCCCUGCAGCCCCUGCACCCUCCCCGCCACCGCACCAAAUAUCCCGGAUAUUAUUACAGACAUCUGGGCACCUUACUUUAGCACACAUUAGCAAAAUGGAUAAACCGAAAUCUGAACCUCCACUGCUGAGCCAAUCAGAGCACAGCAGGCUUCACAGCAGCGAUCCAAUCAGAGCAAAGCUCAUUACCAUAAAUGUUAAUGAGCCAAAAUCAGUUGGUUUUCCUGUAAGGUUUUUUUGGCAUACUAAAACAAACCGUCAAAUAACUUUUCAGCUAAAAUUAUGUUGCAAACAUGAUCAGAGGACAUCAAGGAUUAUGAAAAAAUGAUAAAAAUGGGUAUGAAAUUUUGAUGGAAGGUCCCCUUUAAAACAAAGUUACGCAGCUACGGGGACACAGAGAAGAUGCGCACAGCAGCGGAUGACAAUGUGAUGAAUGUGCGGCAGCGGAGAGGGAGACUUGCUAGGACAGGUGACCGGGGAGCCGAGAGGUAUGCGGCGGAGAUGGUGUGCUUUAAAUGCGACAUGAAGGGACACCUGGCCAGAACCUGCUCUGGUGCAGCCACUGCAAGAGCAACACACACCGGGACAUGACCUGCAGACAGAAACAGAGGCAGAACUGAGACAACGCACAAAAGGUUUCCUGGGAGACAGCUGACCAGGACAAGGACUACGUCAGCAAGGGAGCAGUAGGACUGAACGUGAGGGGCCUGUUGAUCGACUGCGGGGCAACCUCGCACAUCGCCAUAGACCUCACAAAGUUUAAAAGGUUUGACGACGGGUUGCAGGCCAAGACACACUGUGUGAAGCUGGCGGACGGUGCAAGGGCGUUGCAGAGUGCCGAGGCGGUGCAGAAGUCUGUCUGAUUGACAUUAAAGGAAGACACCUGAAAACAACGCUGAGGCAGGUGCUGUAUAUCCCAUCUUACCCACAGGACAUUCUGUCAUUGAAAGCAGCUACUGCUAACGGGGCAACAGUGAUCUUCAAAAAGGGGAAAGAUGUUCUGAUCCACAAAGAUGGUACCAAAUUCCACAUACAUGUACAUGAUAGACUAUAUUAUUUACACACAGUAAACAAUAAUGACGACAAUGAAUAUGAUGAUCAAUACAAGGGAUGUCAUGAUAUGCAGACAUGGCACGAGAUUCUUGGACACUGCAAUUGCAAUGACAUCCAGAAGUUACAAGAUGUUGUGGAUGGUAUGAAAAUUAAGGGUUCAAUAGACAGACCUCUACACUGUGAAGUGUGCACUCAGGGAAAGUUUUACCAAACGAGAAACAGAGACCCUGAUGUGAGGGCUUAAAACCCCUCUAGAGCUAGUACACACAGAUUCGGCUUGGUCAAUCCACACAGAGUUGAGAGAUGGGUACAGAUUUGCACCUUAAUUUACUGAUGACUUUUCCAGUACAGUGUUUGUGUAUUUCUUGAAGAAAAAAAGUGAUGCAGUUCUAGCUACAGAGAAGUUUUUAGUUGAAUCUGCUCCAUACGGCAAAGUGAAAUGCUUCAGAAUUGAUAAUGGUACUGAAUUCACAGGAAAAGCAUACCAGGGAUUGCUCAUAAAAAAUGCAAUCAGACAUCAAACAUCAGCACCAUAUUCUCCCCAUCAAAAUGGGACUGCUGAGUGCAAAUGGCGCACACAUUUUGACAUGGCGAGGUGCAUGCUAAUUGAAAGCGGUUUGCCAAAACAACUGUGGACUUAUGCAGUCUAGACCACAGAGCAGACACCAAUCCAGAUGUUGACAGUAAGACGACCAAAUUUGUCUAAAAUGCAAAGAUUUGGAUCAGAGUGCUUUGCUUAUACACAAGACAAGAGAAAAUUUGAUCCAAGGUGUGAAAAGUGUGUUUUUAUCGGGUACGACAAAAACAGUCCUGCAUAUAUUGCAUAUAUUGUCAGACAGACACUGACUAAUUUUGCGCCUGAGGAUGAGGACAAUGUUAAAGCAGAACAGGAACCUGAAGUCAGCCACCACCAACCACAGGCAGUUGAGGUCAAGUGUGAGCCUGAGUCUAACCAUUACCCUUCAAGAGAGAGGAGUAGGCCAGAUAGAUACACAGAGUAAUAUAGAUUACUGUUAUCGAGUGAUGUGUAACAUACCUUUGUCAUUUACAGAAGCUGUAACAUCAGAUAAAUCAAGAGAGUGGGUCAAAGCUAUGGAUGAAGAAAUGCAUUCACUUAGGGAGAACAACACAUUUACCCUGACCAACCUGCCUGAGGGCAAGAAAGCAGUGGGGGGUAGAUGGGUGUAUGCUCUAAAAACCAAUGCUGAUGGAGCCGAAAAAUACAAGGCCCAAUAUGUUGCUAAGGGGUACAGUCAAAAGAUGGGUGUGGAUUAUGAGGAGACAUUUUCUCCUACAGCUAACAUGACUAGUGUCAGAGUUGUGCUGUCAGAAGGUAGUCCAAGAAAAUGUGAUCUUACACCAAAUGGAUGUUAAGACUGUCUAUUUAAAUGCCCCUAUAGACUGCGAGAUUUACAUGAAACAGCUGGAAGGGUACAGGGUAAAAUCUCACACAGACAGAAAGUUGUUGUGUGAGCAAGAGAGGUCACUGUAUAGGCUAAAACAAUCGGGCAGGAAUUGGAAUAAUGAAUGAAUGAAUGAAUGAAUGAAUGAAUGAAUUGCUUUAUUGUCAUUGUACAGCUGCACAACGAAAUUGCAUUUACAGAAGGGGAAAGUACACACAAGAGGAGGAGGUAAAAAAAAGAAACAGCUCUCAUUAAUAUGAGUGCUGUGACAACAAAAAACCCACAGCAACAUGAGCACAUUACUAACGCCACAUACACAGAGAUUCGUAGACAUGCUAUGGUUGUUGAGGGAGGUGGGGAGUGGGAUGGGUCAACAGUGGUGGUGGGAAGUCCCACAGCCGCUGCCGUAGGCGCCGCCAUUCAGGGUACCGCCCACUGCACUGAGGGGGUGAAGCGUCGAAGGCGUUGGAUGGGGGAGAGGUGAGUGUGUUCGUAUGUGCAUGAGUGUUGUGAGGGUUCAUGGAUGUGUGUGUGCGUAGGCCCAGGAGGUCACUCCGACCAUCGCCACAAUCUUGGUGACCUUGAUUGGGUUCCAGACGAAGUCAACAAUCCGCAGGUGUCCGUGAAAGAGGGGGUUGGGGAGGAAAGUUCAGAGCGUCGAAUUGCUGAGAUCUCCUGGAGGAGUUGUGCCGGCAUCGGCCAUGGCCAAGGCCGAUCCGAGGGAGCCGAAUAAGAGAUUAGGUUGUUUGGGUUAGGGCGAGUAGCCGCAUUCCAAUAGACUUCAGCUACUCUAAUUGUCCAUCCUGGUCUCUGUAUCGAUCCAUUUUCUUAUGCAAAGUCGCAAGCCUCUCCAAGAUGAUAUCUCCCUUACGAUCCACAGUCAUGACUUUUUGGUCAAGACCGAACGCAGUCCCAGAAAGAGUUCCUACGGCUUUGCCCACCUCAUAAAUCAUGUUGUUGUUACAUGAGUAUUUGACACAAAAUAAGUUUCUACAAAACCAGGCUGAUCACUGUGUUUACACAUGAGAAAGAGAAGGUGAGUAUGUGGUUAUGGUAAUUUGGGUCGAUGACUUAAUAAUUGCAGCAAGUGAUGAAAAUGCUAUGAGGGCUACAAAAGACAUGCUUACCGCAAAGUUCAAAAUAAAGGAUCUAGGCAAACUAAGACAUUUUCUUGGUAUUGAUUUUAAACAAAGCAACAACUGUGUAACAAUGUCUCAAGCAAAGUAUGUUGAGAAAAACCUUAAAAGGUUUAACAUGCAUGACUAUAAACUCAGAUUAACACCUUGUGAACAGAAACUGAACUACACAGAUGAUGCUACAUUGAUGAAUGAUGUUUCAAAAUACAGAGAGGCGGUAGGAAGUCUGAUUUAUUCGACUGUUUGUACAAGAUCUGAUUUAAGUUUCAUUGUGAGCAAACUGUCAUAGUAUUUUAAUGCACCUACUGAUCAGCAUUUUGGGACAAUCAAACAUGUGCUUAGGGACGAGUGAUGAGAAGUUGUGUUAUAGAAAAUCUGAUGAGAACCUGGGUAUCCACGCCUACAGUGAUGCAAACUGGGCUGGUGAUGUAAAUGAUCGACGAAGUAUGACUGGGUAUUGUGUAAGCCUGACUAAGAGCGGCACUCUGGUGUCGUGGAAGACAAAAAAGCAGCCUACUGUAGCACUGUCUACCUGUGAGGCGGAGUAUAUUGCUCUGGCUGCAACCAUCCAAGAGUGUUUGUACCUCACACAACUUUAAGGUGGCAUUGAUAAACAUGUAUAUACAUUACCCAGGGUGUAUGAAGAUAACCAAGGCACAAUUACUUUAGCUAAGAACCUAGUUAGUUGGCAGCGAUGUAAACAUGUGGACAUUAAGUACAACUUUAUACCUUCUACUGUGACUGAUGGUGAAGUAUUAUUAGUGUAGCAGAGACAACCAGUUUCUUAUCCCAACUCCCCCAAAAGAAUGUAAGGCUUACAUCUGCCCACCGGAGACGAGAUGGUGUAAACCUUUAACACCAAAUCACAAUCCUUCUACAACCUUCUGUCUCUAUACAAGAUAACCAACGAAGCCUUCCCAAAACACAAACUUUCUUUCCUUUCUACUUCAAAGAGACAAAGACACUGUUUAUGGCCAAUAAGAAAGAACUGCAGGACCACUCAAUUAGAUAAGCAUCUGUCAUCACACCUUGACUGGGAAGCGUUAGGUUUAUCAGCUCAGCCAUAAAUCCUACAUUUGGUUGAUUUUUCCCGAGUACAGUCGAAAGAGAAUAACUACAACUAGUCCAAUUACAGGUCUGAUGGACACGACACCAUGAUCUUCUGUCAGUACUCAACAUGUGCAGAAUAAAUCCUUUAGUCUAAAAGUUCCUUGAGAUCAACAGCUUUCCAAAGUUAUGUUUGAAUUACAACCCUAUUCUAGUAAGACUAGUGUAGAAAUGUUUAGUUUAUCUCUUAAUCAUUUGUUUAGCUUUGUUAACCAUUAGGUAGUUAUACUGUUAACUAAUAAUCUGAAUGUUGGUUUGUAAUCCGUUAUUAACUGUUUAUUAACAUGUGUUUAUCCUUGUGUUGCUCACAGUUCAUGUAUUAAUAUGUGUUUCAUUUCAAAGUAAUGUAGCAUGAUCAAUGUUCUUUGAAAAGUGAUACUCAAAGCAUAAUGAGAAUGUUUGUUAAUGUGAUUCUACAAUUCUUUAUAUGUGUUUAGCAUUAAAUUAUUUAAUAUGAACCAAGCAUUUCUUAACAUUAAUCUUAGUGAGUGAGUAUUCGAUCUGACUCUUUUACUAGCCAAAGUAUAAGUUGGAUCAAACAACCUGGGGCCUCAUGUAUCAACGCUUGCGGCGCAAGAAAACCUUGCGUACGCCAAAAUCGGCGCACACGUCCAGAUUUAUCAUCGCGAAACGAGCGUCGGUUCCAGCGCUAAUAAACGCAAAGUCAGGAGGUGGUGUAGAAAUUGGCGUUGAGCCGAUACUUGCGUUGACUGUGAUUCGCACUUUGGCGACGCUGUGUGGCGGUGUUUGGUGACUCACUAUGUGACAAGCGUGCACCACAUCCCCGUGGCCGAGCAGCACGUCGCCCCACAUGACGAACCAGCAGCAGACGGAAGGAUGCGAGCUGAUCCCUGCCGGGCCGCCGUCCUCGCACGGGAGAAUCUCAUCGCCACAGUGUGAAUGGGUAAGAAGUGAAUACACAGUUCAAUGAGCCAAAUUAAUUUAUUUUCUCCACCAGACGCUCGAGGACAUUUACGAACCGGUCCAGCCGCUCGUUUAUCCCCGCGAUCCCCCUGAUGAUUUCUUCCUGCGAUUGCAGGACCCCCUCCGUGAGGACCCUUCCACUGCGUCCGGGUGGUCCAGCGGAAGCGCCGCGGCUGGUGGACGCUCCACCGCUUGUCGGCGCGCUGGUGCUGGUGCUGGGGCCGGGGGCCGGGGUGGCCCGAAUGCCGCUGGUCCUGGCCGACGACUCCGAGCCGGCGGACGGGCUGCCGUGGGCCGGGGUUCCGCAAGCCGGCGACACGGCCGACACAUUGAUUUCUGUGACACAAUAAAAAUAUUGGUUCAUUUCAAUUCCUGCUUCUGUGUAUCUGUUGCGUUUACAUCUCUCUCCACGGUAUCAUAGGUAAUGUAAUCCAGUAUUUAGAGGUCAGUUAUGCACAUUACAGUUGUUUAUUGCAUAAAAAGUUAUCGAAAAAUGAAGUUAAGGGCGAAGUAUAAAUCACGUCUAAAAAUAGACUGAAUCCCGACGUUGAAAUGAAGUAUAAACUUAGACUAGACGUCUAAUAUACGUCUUUUGCUCAGUGGGAUGACAAAGCAUGUGGACAUUUGUGUGACACGCCACUUACCCUAUAAUAAUAAUCGCCACCAAACGGCGUGAGGGUCUCCUCCCCCGGACCCCCACUUGUCUGGCCAGUACUCCUCCGGAGGGCAGCUGUACGCCGCUUGACCUCCACCUUGAGGUCCUACCACUUUUUUUUAAUCUUCGCGGGGGUGCGUGUCUCGGAACCCACCGCAUUCACCCUCUCGCAAACUUUCUCCCACUCCAAGCGUUUUUGUUUUGCACUGACGCCACUGGACAGGCUGCCGAACAAAACACGCUGUCGCUCCUCCACCUCCGCCACCAGCACCUCCACCUCGCACGCCGUUAAUUUAGUUUUUCUUGUCAUUUUGUCUGCGUGCGAGGACAGGGAGACCCUAUUUAAAUAAAUCUGCAUAUUUAUAGGAGGGCGUAACGGGGACGGGCCCAGUCACUCCGACAUCUGUGCUCAAUUCCACGCUGUUUGGGAUUUAUCAAGGAAACACACGUGGAUUUCGGCGCCCGCACACAUUGAUACAUACGGAUUUUUUUCAGCGUGACGGACCUUGCGUGCGCUCGUUUCUGGUAUGAGUUCCACGCAAGUGUUGAUACAUGAGGCCCCAGGGCUCUUGAAAGUCUCCUCUCAGGAAGCUGCAGCUGGAGAUCAGUACCCCCUCCCUUCUUUCCUCACACCUUAGAGACACUCCCAGUCUGAAGAGUAUAAAACCAGUAAAGCUGGGGUGCUUGCUCUCUCACAUUCCCCUUGCCUUUUUCUCUCUUGCCUUUUGCUCUUCACACUCUUGUUUUCCUUUUUGUUUCCGCUAAGUUUUCCACCACAUGUUCAUUCACUUUAAUUUUUCUUUAACAUUGUCUUAGUUCAAGUUGCGAAACUUUAACUUUUGUGCGCAUAGCAAUUCAAGAUUAAGCCUUUAAUUGGUUUUUCUUUAAUUUUGCAAAGACAUUUUUGAAAUGCCAGUUUCAACUGGUCAUUGAGCCUCUUUCCUUGGACUUGAUCGUCAAGUCACCUCUGAAUGCCACCCAGCAGGCCCAAAGUCAUCCUCUGAGCCAGUGUGUUGCAGUGAGGCCAAAAGAGCAUUAAAAGGAUAAAUAAAGCACUGGUUUUUGCAUUCAGGCCUGUGCGCUGUGACUCCUGGCCCGUCCUUCGUCUGACUUUGGUCCUCUUCUGAGCUGAACCUCUCGAACCGGUAGCGUGGACCUUCUGAACCUGCUCCAUCCUCUCCAAGGACCAGCCUCACUUAAGUAUCCAAACCUCCAGAGCUCCAAACAAGGCCGAUGCUGUCUCAUGCAUUCAAUUCAGAUAACCACAUCCAAAUUUAUCUUUACACUGAAGUUAAUGUAGGUUAAUAUGUUAGAGCAAAUUCACUCAUUAUCAUUAACUUUAGUAGUCUUAGCCUGACUCAGAAUCUUUCAUUCAAAUAAAGAAAAAAAAAAUAUCCUUCUUGUUGUUUUCUUUUUUGGUAUUGUAAUCAUCACUCCCACGUUUGCCCGGCCGAAUGCUCUCUGUAAAUGUGACUUUUGUCAAUGAGGGGGAGAUGACACCUUUAAGGGUAGAUGCUUCGGUGACUUAAUUCAUUCUCUUUAAGUGUCCGGGGAUUUAAACUAAAAGCAAAACAGAAGUGUUUAUUUUACUUUGAUAAUCUGAAAACGUCUCACCACUGGAAACUUUCUCCAUCUUGAAACUGGAAGAGCUCUGUUGAUAAAGCAAGGAAAUAACCUGAAAGGCAAGCUAAUAACGCAGUUAAGGGACAGUGUUUGUACCUUCAGAACAGAUUUCUCUUUGCGUUAUCAAUAAAAUAAAAUCAAGCAACGCUAAGCUGCUCUGUUGCUAUUUCGGUUCCCCUCUGAUUAGACACCAUACGGCAAACACACAGAGACAGAGGAUUUUUUCAGUGGUCCGUCAGCACAUCCAUGCAGGUCUAUAGAGAGUUGUCCUGCUGUGUUUGAUGUUCACACUGAAAGCUGUAAAAACAGAUAGAGAACAGGAUUUAAAAUCACAUUUCUGUGGAGCUCAAAUAAACACUCCUGAGUUCUUCAAAAAGCUCAGACUCAGAGACUGGGCUGUCUUCACCACAGCCAAAGGACGAGAACUGUUUCAUUUGUGAGUCAGAACAGAAAGAAUCACCUCAUCACCUGCAUGCCUGACAAACAGGAUGUGAUGGGUUCACAGUUGUUCCCACAGGAAGAUGUUUCAGGGUCACAGCGGGUGGUUUGGGGCAGGAUCUGAUAGUGAUGAUGGAUUUUAUUCAGAGCCACACCUGUGCACCACAAAGUGGCUGUUCCUCAUGUUUUCCCACCUCCUGCCCUGUGUGUGACAUCACCGCUGCUUCACUUCCUGGCAUAGCUGUCCCGGCGUCAGGCUCAAGGACGGUUUGGACACUGAGGCUCCCAGGAAGAAGUCUGUUUCCUGACCUGACUCAGAAGAGUCCAACAGUUUGAAACAAGGGGAAACAGGACACAAAGGGGGACAGAGACACGCAAGACUUCAUGUUGAGUUAUCGGAAAUGAAAGAAAUGGAGUGUUUCUUCAGGAAAAUAUAUCCAUUCUUCCCCUUUGAAAUAUUUCAGUCCUGAUGGUUGAAAAACAUUGAGCGAAUUUCCUUCAGGCUGUAUGAUGGUGAGUUUGCCGAGCCAACAGACUGCUGAUUGGCUUAUAAGGUUGUUUCCAUUUGAUUGACAAGUGGGAUAACAAGAUGCUAGGCCACAGCAUUUGCUUUCACAAUAUCAUAAAGGAAUCACAACUCAAUUCGGCCAUAAGUGACUUGUGACUUGGACCUCAUGACUCUUAAAAAAACAGUUAAACCUGACAGAACUUUUCACCAGAGUCAACCUUAUUUUAGCUGUCCAAGAAGAUCCAGUCACAUGACAAAACAAACCAGGAAGGUGCGGUUGGGUUGGGUUAAUCAAAACCAGAGCUGUUGAAGGGUUAGGAAGUUAACAAGAGCAACACAAACAUGAUUCCAAAGAUCAUUUAGGGGCCUUUCUCACCCAAAGUCCGCUUGGAAGGUCUGGAUCACUAAAUCUUUACAUCAUUGCAUUUUACAUGUGGUCUGGUUAGCACAUGACUUUUGCUGAUGAGAAAACGAGAUGGUUCAUCUCAAGGGGCUAUCCUAUAAUUAAUCAGAAUUUACGCAAACCAAAUGGUUAAAAAAAGAGGGAAAAUUACAAGGGGAAAUCACUGUCUGUCACCUGCUCAUUUGGGGCACAAUCUUCAUUGUCCCACAAUGCACAGAGAGUAGCCAACAAGAGGAAGGCAUCUGGCUUUACGCAAUUCACCAGAGUUGGUGAAGACAUUGGGCGAGGAGACACUGGGCAUGAAUGCAAAGUAAUGCUUAUAACAUAUUGUCAGUGUGUUUGUUGAACAGAAGAACACUCAGGUAUUUAAUAUUUAUCACCCGACUAGUGUAUUAGAACACAAACCCUCUGCCAUUCAUCCAGUUUUACAGAUAGUCUGGUGUUUUGACCGGCUGUUCUUCAUCUGCUGCAACCGGCCAGGCACAAUUUCCCUGCUUUAUUACAGUGUAAAUGUGUUAUUGGAUUAUAUUGACAUAGAAAAGUCUGGCUGCAUCAGUGCUGCAUUCACGCCCACCCCGGACAGAACCAUGAUUCGUUUGGAAGGGGAACAAGUCCUGAAUUUUCAAGAGGACCACGGUCCGUUUGUUUGAUCCGGACGACGUUUCACUUGCGUGUUCAUACUACCUAGACCAAAAGAGUGAGGGGACCAUGGUCCUUUUAGAGCGCCCUUAGUUGGUGUGCAGAAACUAUGAGGUGGUCAACAAAAAAAAAAAUCUGUGAUGAUGUUUUCCCUUUGCAAUCAGAUUAAAAUCAUAGAGUUUAUAGAUAGUUUUCAAGCUUGAAUGUUGCCUCAACUUUAGCAAGUUCAGGACCCUGAGCCCAUUUGACCACUGACAUAUUGAACAACACCAUAUUUCAAAGUUUAGUGUCAUCAUACAAAAGUACAGCCAGUCAUGAUGUGGGGCAUUUCUAACAGGCGUGGGACCCAGAGCCAAUCCAUCUAGCAAGGCACAUCUGAAACCUACAGCAGAACAUGAAUCCUCCCUGUGACUAGGUGUAGAUGAGGCAGAGCAGAGGUGAAUAUAUCCGGCCUUGAAAAGACAGUACGUAAACGCCUGAUGACUUAGUCCCACCUCUGAUCAAACAUAGAGCGGGUCAAAGUUUUACAUUUCAGAUUCCUCUUCAUUUCUCUUCUAAGUGAACAAAACUGUCACCAUGGUGAUUUCGGCGGGUUCAUCUAGUAAAAGAAGAAAAGUUCUUAAAAACUGUGUCUUUUUAUUAUUAAAAUACAUUGUGUGUGUGUGUGUGUGUGUGUGUGUGUGUGUGUGUGUGUGUGUGUGUGUGUGUGUGCGCGCAUGCCUAUGGAUGUGGGAGUCUGUAGAAUGAAAGAAAACCAUUAAACAAUUUUACAGACAAAACCCUUGUUUUUGGUAACACAAAGAGGUUUUGUUAAAGAAUAAAAGUGGCCUGUUUUCUAGCUCUGAUGGGGUGAUGAAGAGGCAGAGGAGGGCGGAGGCAGGGAGAUGGGGUAGUAGGCCAAAGAUUAUCUUUGAUAACACACACACACAGACAAGCUCUACUCUGACCAUCACAGUCUGGAUUUGGGGGGCCUCAGCAGUCUCUGUGUGGGUGUGUACAGGUCAGCAAGGAGGAGAUGGACUGUGAAAGCCUUUAGCUCAACACUGCCCUCACAUGGGGGAGCAGAGAAUCACACGGUCAGCUUUAGUAUAGGAGACAGUCUGUUAAUAUCUUCACUUUAAAAGAUGAGUGUCUCUUCAUAUCCAUUACAAUAUGACCACUAUUAUUCAAGCUUUAGACCACUCUGUCAAAGUUCCUCUUGAACUUCACAACUAAGGCUUAACCCACAAAGCUGAUUCACUGUACCUGGAUUACAUCACCAUGGCAACCAGUACCAGUAUACAUAACCUGGGUGGGUUUACUUCACUUCUGCACUCCAAGAAAAAAGGACUCAUUCCCACAAAGUGGAAAAGGAGCAGUCAUUGUCUUAUAAAUAAACAAAGAUAAACAAAGAGCAGCAUGUAACAUCCUAAAUAAUCUUUUUUAUGUUUUCAUUUACAAAAAUUUUACUUAUUCAGUCCAUCUGGACUGAAUACAUAAACUGCUCAUGUUGCUCAUGUUUAUUCUGUUAAUCAGGAACAGAAUGUGUGAAAAUCUGCCACCCAAUAUCACACACAGUGUAAACACAAAGAGGCUUUAGUGCAUGGACUAGUUUCAGAACCACACCACUUUGAGAAGCGAAACAAAUACCUGUGCAGUUCGGGGGGGGGGGGGUAUGACCUCAGUAGACAAUCUGUAACCAAUCAUCAUGCUGCUGAUCAAACAAAUAUGUGGUGUAAAAUUAAUAUUUUUAACUAAAAUGUGAUGAUAUAUUACAUUUUAAAUUUAACAUCUGCAUUUACCAAAAGCUUGAUGAUAAUGUAUGAACAGUGUUAUCCUCAUGAUUAAACUCAAAAAGAUCACAAUCUACACCCUUUUUUUUUUCUUAAAUUAGCUUUAUGAAGUAAAAAUGCCUCUGAGUUGAUUUAAAUUACCUACAAUGCAUUUUUGUAUUUUGUCCACUUACGCCUGAUGAGGUUGAUGCUGGCAGCAAACAGAUGCACAGCCCGCGUGGCUAAAUGUUGGCAGGGAUUUCUCAUUGUUGAUGGUUUUAGAUACAUGGUUUUCACAAUGUUUAAGACCAUGAAAUGUUUUUGGUUGUGGAGCGGAGGGUCAUCUGGUCCAAUCUUAUCCAGGGUAGAGUGGAACACAGCAGCAGGCUCCUGCCGCCUCUUGCACACCUUAUGGCGGGGUGCCGCCACAGGAUUUAUUUAUUUGUCCCUCCAAAUUUGUAUUUUUAAAUUUCAUAUUUAGCACAUAUCUGCAGUGUUUGUUCAUGACAUGUUCAUUGUUCAGUUUAAAAAAUAUAGUUGUGUCAUGAAUGGCUCUCUUCUUCCUCUCUCACACAAAGCCCAAGAUGGUGAGGGUUCUGCUUAGAGAGUUGGCCAUUAGCCGCUGUAGUUACAGUUCAUAAAUUCUACAUUUUUACUGUUACAACAAUAAUCAACUUUGAUUAUGUCAAGUGAUAUUAAAAUAAAGACUUUUAUUUGAGAAUAACUUUGUCUCAUACACUCUCAAUAACUUACACUCACUCAUCAUGCCCAUGAAGCUGAUGACGAAAACCUAUUAAAGUGGCAAGAGUACAGCAUGAAGAGCUGCUUACACUGCUGAUGUUUCAUUACCUGCAAAUAUUAACACUUAAAACGAAGCAAGUUCUUUAUAUCCCUAUGAUGUUCAGAAGCAUAAGCCAUUUGGUGUUCGGUGAUAAGGCUGUAAGAUCCAACAAAUGUCCAACACAUCAUCCGUCUAUCAACCUACAUCCAUCCAAUAAUCAAUCCUUCCAUUAUCAUCUAUACCAUCAACAUGAUCAACAAAUCAUACGGUGAUAAUUAUGAGAGGUCCCUGAGCAACAUCCCUCAUGAGAUUUCAAUCAGCUAUUUUCAGUGUUAAGAGUGAGUCAAAACUCCCCCUUAAUGUGCUAAAUGCUUGUUGUUACUGUGGAUUCACAUUUAUAAAUGGUGAGAAGAAUGGAAUAUGUUAAAAUGCAAAUACAAUGGGAGUCAAGAUAUAUGACUGAUAGGAGGGGAAACAAAAUCCGAUCCAAGCCGAAUCCAAAUUUAGCAAGCUGACUGGCUGUGUGAGAGUACAGGGUUGGGAUGACGGUUUAUAAAGUAAACUCCAUUUUUGGAUGUUUCCAUGUGAGAAUGACUUCACAAAUCUCUCUCUAUAUAAGUUUGUGUUUGUUUGUGAAUAAGAGAGAGAGGGGCGUUGGUAAAUUGUGAGUCUGCAGCCAAAAAUCAGGCAGUAUGCAUGCUGGCAUGACUGAGAAUGGGCUCCUUCCAUAAGCACACACCAAAUGUCCUGGCAGCACGGCUCCUCCCUACAUGCCAAGUUUGUCAAAGCACAAACGUUAAGGAACAAAGCAACUCCGCUAUAAAUACUCUCACCCUGAACUCCUAAAACACAGUGCAUUUCAGGUGUGUAUUGAACAACAACUCCGGAAAUUAAUUAAUUCAUUAAACUAAACAAUAAAUAUGCUUUUCCUUUUCAUUCAAAGUGCUCCAAAUCUGCAUUUGGCCCACAGUUUUCUACAUGUUGCUGACUCUGUAUUUGCAUCAAUUUAGUCCGUGGAGUAUCUGUUAAUCACAGGUAGCCAAAUCCAGGCCUCAAAUUCUCCUCUUUGAUUGGUUACAUGUGCCACCCCAAACUCCCCUGCUAUGACUGAUUACAUACCUUCACUGUAGGAGCAGAAUAUUUGUUGACUGACUGAACUCUGUAUUAACAAAGCAGCAACCUCAUGAAGUCAAUGUGAAAGCUCUUAAAAAUCUAGUUCCUCAAGUGUCCACUUGCGACUUGCUGCAAAGGCUGCAGAAGUUCCAUAUGAAAGUCAAAGAGCUAGUGAGCUCAAAAAGCAGAGAUCAACAGCAUUGGUCUCUAUUAGAGACUUAAACCUAGAAGUUUUGUGCUUUGCUGCUAUGUAGUGUGUCAGUGACAGUCGUUGUUGAGUAGCCACUAAUGUCCUUGGCUGAGUAAAUUAAUCAACUGAGAAGCAAGACCAUUUCCUUACAGACUUCUAUACAAUCAGAUUCUUUUACAACCUGUGGAGUUGCCCACAGGUUGUAAAAGUAUAACAUUAAAUAAACAUUAAAAAAAGAAUAACAUUAAAUACAACACAGUUUUUAGGUAUUCAUUCAUAGGCUUUUGAUACUUGCAGGCAGUAUGUAGUCCAUUUAAUCAGGAAUUUGCAAAUGAAUGCUCCUGUCACAUUUUGUAACAUUUGCAUUUACACUUUUCUGUAAUGUUUAGGAAAGUUCCCCUUUAAUAAUAGUUUCACAUAUCAGGAUUACCAGCCACACUUCUUAGCACUAAAAGAUGAUCAAGCUAAGUGGUUCAUUUGUGCCCAUUGCUGCCUCAUGUCGAGAUGUUGCAGUUUGUCAGCUGCAGUGUUUGAAACAUGUGGUUUGGUGUUUUCUUUUCUUUUUUAAUAAUCACCAUGUUUUUUUUUGUUUUAUGUGUAACUUUGUGUGUGUGUGUGUGUGUGUGUGUGUGUGUGUGUGUGUGUGUGUGUGUGUGUGUGUGUGUGUGUGUGUGUGUGUGUGUGUGUGUGUGUGUGUGUGGCUGAUAUCAGGGUAUCAAAGCUCUCCAGGCCAAAUAUGAAGCUGGUAAAUAAAUAUGUAAAAGAGAAAACAGCAUUUCAAAUAGUUUUGAAGGUCACUGUAAUUUUCAGGAAUCUUGAAAGGCUGAAUAUAUUGUCCAAUGUGUGAACAGCUCUCUGAUUACUAUGAAAAAGACUAAUACCACCACCACAGCUGAAUAACUAAGUUCAAUAACUGGAGCAACAUCUGGCAGACACCAGCAGCUCACACCUGUCACUCAGAGAGGCUAUGUUCCUAAUUUACCAAAAUGUAACAGUUAAAACAAACAAACCUCAUAAAACUUCAACUUUAUACGGUUAGAGGAAUCACAGACAAGUGCUUUUCUACCACUCACCAAUAUAUAACGGUGAUUAUGCUGAUUGCAUUCAUAUAUAAAUUUACUGCAUAUUUGACAUAUGAUAUAUUAUCCACUAUUGAUCAGAAGGACCCAUGCAUCCUCAUGCAUGUUCAUCCACUUACUAUGAAGUGACAGCAAUGUCGAAACUGUUCAAAUGUCUCCCUUAGUCCUAGACUGCAGAACUUGGACUUUGCAUUUUGGACUGUAAAAACCCCGCUCAUGGCAUAUCCGGUUAUAAACAUGGACAGAGAUUUGUAUCUGUGCAAACUUGUAGGACCACACAACUUUUCCUUAGACAUGUAGCCCACUCUUAGACAUCCAUAUCUAGUGGCAUGGAUCAUUUAAUGUAAUUCUGAUAAUGUUUAGUGGAUGAAAUAGACACUGAGUCCAUGGAUGAAACAUUUAGGGCUCUAUUUUCAUGCUUCGCCAGAGACGGGGCGCAGGCGACAAGGCGCUCCCAAGCACAAUUUGGUAUUUUGGUGAGCGGCACAGCCUGGCAUAAGUAUCCCCCCUCCCUAACUCAGCUCCUCCCAGUGGCGUAAGUCGUAGCGAGGGAGGAGAGUGGGCAGAAAGUGGGUUUAACACAGCAGAGACCUGUGUUGACCAAUAACAUAAGCUCCUCUCCUCGCCUUUAAAUCCAUCACCGGUGAGGGGUAUUGCAAUUUUCGUGAAGUAGACAAAGAGAUCAAGAGAUGUCUGAAGACAGCAAUGCCACACGAUGGCGACAGAGGGCAGCCCCUCAACAAGUGUCGCUGCAGCACAGGUGGAUUUGGUGUGUGUAAUGUUGGGCCCACUGGUAAGACAAACACCCUUUUCCACAAAUAAAGAAACUCACAUAAAGUUGCAUUUAUAUUCAAACCUCACAUGACAAAAGUGGGUUGAGCGCACAGAUCACAACAUUAACUCCAAUAAUGGCACUAAAAUCGGAACCAUCUUUACGUAAAGGACGCAUCGCGCUCCGUGGCCUGGCUCUUUCUUUCAUAGAUGUUGGCAUAUAAAAUAAAUUUGGCUCACAAAACUGAAUAUUAUAAUAUUCGUAUGUAGGCUUAAAGUAAAAAACUCAUCUGAACACUGAAAUAAAUCAUCUGUUCAGCCACCGCAGCAGCAGCUGCAGCAGGACGGGGAGAGGAUUCGGAGACAUGUCCAGGUCGAGCUACGCAUGAAAUAAGAGGAAGAGUAAGAUAGAAAUAGGGGGAGACAAAUUAAAUAUCUUGUUAACUUUAUUGUGUGUGUCUAUGUACUAGAUAUUUAAUUUAAUUUAAUGUGAUUUCAGAUGUGUUGAUUUGGUCAGGAUGUGUGUCCAGACCCGUGCCAAACGCGCUCAUCAGAUCAGAUAUAGAUCGUAAUAUAUCCAUAGAUCUAAAUGUAUGUGCUGACUCAGAUUAUUAGUUGUUGUUGAUUAUUUAUUGCACAAAAAUGUGCCUGACACUGUGGAAACCUGCCGGUGAGGCAUCAGUGACGUAUGCCAAUAUGCCGCCAGUCUACCAAAAUACCUCUCGACCAGCUGCACUGAAAGCUGACCAGGUUUGAAUCGGCAAGCUUUCAGCGCACUUUAGACGCCGGUGGCAAGCACAAAAAUGUCACUGCGCCAGCUGAUUCUGUCGACACCUCCCCCUGCCACACCACCACGCCCAGCUUGGUGGACCUCGGUGCCCCUCAGUCCACAAAAAUACCAAACUGGCAGUAAGCUGGGCUCCGCCGGACGAAAAUACCACUGCGCAGGGUCCGCCACCCUCCGCCGCGUCCCCGGCGGACACGAAAAUAGAGCCCUUAGAGUCCUUGUGAUCAAGUGACUGCAUAAAAAAGGUUGCCAUAAACACACAGACAGAAAUCGUGUUUUUGGAAGUCUGUUGUCCACAUUGCAUUGUUAAUAACAAUAAUUAUCCAAAUAUUCUAAGGUAACCAGCAGCUAGAGUUGGAUCCAGUGAGGUGUAAAUAAUAAUUAAAUUGUAAUUAUUGUGAGGUUUCACUUGUUUUUUUCUGACAUUUUUAUUUCUUCUCAAAAUGCAUUAAUAAUAAUGAUAAAAACAAUAUUAAACUUUUUUUAUUUAAUAAUUUGAUAAUUAUUAUUUAAAAAUAUUAAUAAUCACUUUUUUUGACAUAUGAAUUUGGAUAUUUCCGUCUGUGGCCCUAAAAUCUAUUCCCCUCUGAUUUAUCUUUUAGAGAUGUAUUUUUAGUGUUAGAUUAUACUGCUCCUCUACUCCAGCAAUGCCCUGGAUUCUUAAAACAGGUAUCUGAAGUUUGCAUUAAGGGUGCAUGAGGUAAGCUUUGUAGUGGGAAAAGCAAAUGAUCAGAUAUCACUCCGGAGUCCCCUGCCCAUUGAACAGUCUCCAGCACUAAAGAGGAGCGAUCAGCUGUUACAGUCUAAGGCUGUGUCCCAUUUCAGAGACCGUAUCGUCGAACGGCGCAUUUGAAGCGUGCACAAUGUCAUCACACGGCGCGAACGGUGUCCCAUUUGGCACGAAAUGCUAAGAAAUGCUAAGCGCGCUUAGCAUUUUUCAAGCAUGCAUUUAUGCAUGUUUUUGUGCCAUUGGUAUACCAGAAUUCUUUGCAUGCCGCUGCACAGCUGCGCAUUUCGGGUGAGAGGCUGGACUCACUUGGAGACGCAGCGCAAAGAAAAUACAAGAAAUCCAAAAACAGCAGACAGUCAGCUCAGGCUGUAUGAGAGCAUGAUCUCUGAACUCACUAAAAUCUGUAAACCAAACAUUAUAGAUUUAGAGAUGAACUGAUCUGCUCUGCUACAACAAUCAAAAACAUUAGAAAUAAGAAAGCUAACAAAACUACAGCAGAGAAUCAGGACAACAUUGAGGUUUUUUUUUUUCUUUUUUAUAUUUAGAGAUUAAAGUUGUAAAUUUAGGAGAAUAAAGUCAUAAAGUAAAUAAAGUCAUAAAGCUGCUUUUGUGGAGGGGGAAAUGACUGAAGCUGGUCAUCUGCAGGCUUAUCUGUGAAUGUAUCAGCGGGUCAUUCAGAGAGUUUUUGUGGUUUCUGAAGAAACAAUCAAACUGAUGAUCAACAUUUGUGAUCCAGAGAGAGUCAAGCUUCGACAAGCACCACGUCUCUGACACCGACGGUAACCUACACCUGCAGAGGCACCAACACCUUAUUAUGGCAUAUGGAUUCAUAUCUUAAAUUAAAGCUCAAUGUCAUUCACGGAUAUUUACGGCUGCAUAAACGGAUAUAUCCUCAGCAUAUUCAUUUAUGCCUCCACAAAAGCAGCGAUUUCCUCCAAGUACACCUGUUUCUUUUUUACUUAUGACAAUGUAAUGCUGAUGUGCCAAAGGAUGAAGUAUCUCCUUGUUUGUGAAACCUAUACUAAAGCACAGUUCCUUUAAAUGCUUCAUGGCCCUAAUUUUAACAAGUCUCCUCUGAAAUAACAGGUAACCUUAUGACUUAUUCUCAUAAAUUCAUGACUUUAUUCACGUAAAUUCACGACUUAAAUCUCAAAGUCUUUAAAAAAAAUUCUCAACAUGGCCCUCAUACUCCUUCUAAGUGGUGGGCAAAACCGUUCAUUUCAGUGAACCGGAUCAUUCCUGGUCGUUCGGUAAAAAGACCCGUUCAUUUCGGUCAUUCGGUCGUUAGUCAGUCCAUUCGUUCAUGCUGAACGAACGUGAUGAGCGAACGAAAUGACUGCACUUCAGACUCAACAGCGCAACAACAUGUGAUUACAGCAUUAAAGGGGACCUGCCACCAAAAUUUCAUACCCAUUUUUAUCAAUUUUUCAUAAUCCUUGAUGUCCUCUGAUCAUGUUUGCAACAUAAUUUUAGCUGAAAAGUUAUUUGAUGGUUUGUUUUAGUAUGCCUAAAAAACCUUACAGGAAAACCAACUGAUUUUGGCUCAUUAACAUUUAUGGUAAUGAGCUUUGCUCUGAUUGGAUCGCUGCUGUGAAGCCUGCUGUGCUCUGAUUGGCUCAGCAGUGGAGGUUCGGAUUUCGGUUUAUCCACUGUUAUUAUGCUAAUGCUAAUAGCAUAUGCUAAUGUGUGCUAAAGUAAGGUGCCCAGAUGUCUGUAAUGAUAUCCGGGGAUAUUCGGUGCGGCGGCGGUGGUGCAGGGGCUGCAGGGGCUGUGUGAUCACAGACAAAGUCUCGGUACUAUUUAGUAGCAGCGCAUGCCCCUUGUAAUAACCCCGUAAGAACUGUUGUUCAGGACUGCUAACUAAAUUCGGCUACUGUAAUAACCGUUGUUCGAGCCCGCGCGCAACAUUUUUGGUCUCAUUAAUGAAACGCUUAAAUCGGGGACAUUUUCGGGGACAGCUUUUGCCGGGGACAGAUCAUCCAAUACGGGGACUGUCCCCGGAAAUCGGGGACGUCUGGUCACCUUAUGCUAAAGGCUAAAAACGGCAGGUAUUAAACCAUAUAUUUUAGACCCCGAGUCCGAAGAGGAGGUGGAAGUUGAGGAAGAAGCCGGAGAUCUCCAGCGGUGUUUUCUCAUUCAUUCUGCCCGGCUUUAAGUUC